RNAcentral lists this ribosomal RNA (19 nucleotides) under Korthalsia cheb. RNAcentral's name for it is "partial 26S ribosomal RNA". The record is from RNAcentral. Lineage: Eukaryota; Viridiplantae; Streptophyta; Magnoliopsida; Arecales; Arecaceae.
GCGAUCCCAAGUUAGGCAG